Molecule: long non-coding RNA, 417 nt
Organism: Perca fluviatilis (European perch)
Lineage: Eukaryota; Metazoa; Chordata; Actinopteri; Perciformes; Percidae
Exons: 4
Source: RefSeq, a predicted model, not a curated record
UGACUGUCUAUGCUUUUGGCUGAGAAGACGUCACUUUGCCGCCGCGCACCGGACAGUCCAGUUGCUGCUAAAACUCGCCAGAGACGGUCAUGGGAAGAGAUCCUUUUGAACCCAAGAUCCUGAAAUUGGCAACAAGCUGAAUACCAAUCUCUGAAAAAUAUGCUUUGGAAGUGAUUCCUGGAGAGCUUCACUGUUGACAAGUUCUGCAGAUUCUGUUCGGCAAGCAGGAGUGACACACAACGCCAAGAGAUGGCUGAGCAACAGAAUAUAACCAUGAGGGUUAUUGUCUCAGAGGGAGAUAUAAGAAAGAUGACCACAAAACGACCUGACACACUUGACGAUUUGAUUGGCUGGCUCAAAGGCACUCUCCAAGCGAACUAUAGUUUCACCUUACAGUACCAAGAUCCUGAAUUUAAC